UACGUAGGUGGCAAGCGUUGUCCGGAUUUAUUGGGCGUAAAGAGCUCGUAGGCGGCUUGUUGCGUCGGCUGUGAAAUCCCAUGGCUCAACUGUGGGCUUGCAGCCGAUACGGGCGGGCUAGAGUUCGGUAGGGGAGACUGGAAUUCCUGGUGUAGCAGUGAAAUGCGUAGAUAUCAGGAGGAAUACCGAUGGCGAAGGCAGGUCUCUGGGCUGACACUGACGCUCAUGCACGAAAGCGUGGGGAGCAAACAGG
Molecule: ribosomal RNA, 253 nt
Filed under: uncultured bacterium
Lineage: Bacteria
Description: partial 16S ribosomal RNA
Rfam family: Bacterial small subunit ribosomal RNA
Source: RNAcentral